AUGCCAGCGCGGACCAACCAUAAGUCCCGAUCCCCACCCUCCCACCCCCGCCCCCUCAUUUCGAGUGAUCCGCGGCGCCGUCAACAAAGACGACAGCUCAUGGCGACGGCGGAGGAGGGCGGCAAUGGACUGGAGUUCCUAUCAGAUCCGGUGGACAGGUUCCCCUUGCCGGAUCUUGCAUCCAGCGAUUUGACGCCCACCGGUGAGCCAGAUACUGGUCUCACCCAAUCAGCUGCUGAAUCGAGUAUGGGAUAUGUUGGCGACUUGCCGCUUACAAUCCAAUUGCCCAUGAACAACGGCUGCGAAGAACUGAGCUUGUCGGCGGCCGAUUCACAGCAAUCAACAGGAAAGGAUGACCCUCAAGCCCCCGGGUGGACAAAAAGGGAAAAGAAGGCAACCGUUAACAGUUAG
Molecule: ribosomal RNA, 411 nt
Filed under: Triticum aestivum (bread wheat)
Lineage: Eukaryota; Viridiplantae; Streptophyta; Magnoliopsida; Poales; Poaceae
Description: partial small subunit ribosomal RNA
Source: RNAcentral